AUUGAACGCUGGCGGCAUGCCUUACACAUGCAAGUCGAACGGUAACAGGUCUUCGGGUGCUGACGAGUGGCGAACGGGCGAGUAAUACAUCGGAACGUGCCCGAGAGUGGGGGAUAAAGAGGCGCAAGCUUUGAUAAUACCGCAUACGAUCGCAGGAGGAAAGAAGGGGACCGCACGCCCAUGGGUUCACUGAGCGGCCGAUGGCAGAUUAGGGAGUUGGUGGGAUCAAAGCUUACCAAGCCGACGAUCUGUAGCUGGUCUGCGAGGACGACCAGCCACACUGGGACUGAGACACGGCCCAGACUCCUACGGGAGGCAGCAGUGGGGAAUUUUGGACAAUGGGCGCAAGCCUGAUCCAGCCAUGCCGCGUGCAGGAUGAAGGCCUUCGGGUUGUAAACUGCUUUUGUACGGAACGAAAAGACUCCUUCUAAUAAAGGGGGUCCAUGACGGUACCGUAAGAAUAAGCACCGGCUAACUACGUGCCAGCAGCCGCAGUAA
Molecule: ribosomal RNA, 498 nt
Filed under: uncultured bacterium
Lineage: Bacteria
Description: partial 16S ribosomal RNA
Rfam family: Bacterial small subunit ribosomal RNA
Source: RNAcentral